AUUGAACGCUGGCGGCAUGCCUUACACAUGCAAGUCGAGCGCGAAAGGGGGCAACCCCGAGUAGAGCGGCGGACGGGUGAGUAACGCAUCGGAACGUGCCCAGUAGUGGGGGACAAACCUCGAGAAAUCGAGGCUAAUACCGCAUACGACCCACGGGUGAAAGCGGGGGACCGCAAGGCCUCGCGCUAUUGGAGCGGCCGAUGUCCCGAUUAGCUAGUUGGCGGGGUAANAGCCCACCAAGGCGACGAUCGGUAGCUGGUCUGAGAGGACGACCAGCCACACUGGGACUGAGACACGGUCCGGACUCCUAC
RNAcentral lists this ribosomal RNA (311 nucleotides) under uncultured bacterium. RNAcentral describes it as "bacterial SSU rRNA". It matches the Rfam family "Bacterial small subunit ribosomal RNA", at positions 29 to 342 of the family's 1533-position model. The record is from RNAcentral.